UAAUCAAAUAAUCAUGAAAUAUUUAGGCUGGUAAUCAAAUAAUCACUAUAACAAUGCCCAAGUAAUCACAUAAUAGGAACUUCAGUUGAAUUUCAAACAACUUUUAGAAAUAUGAAACCUAAAAAAAGUCAUAAUAUCAAGAGAAACAGCUUGUUUUAGGUGACUUCAACUUAAAUCUAUUAGAGCAAUUUAGAAUUCAACACCUGGAUUUAAAAAAAAAAAGAAAAGUUUUUUGAUAAAAUAUAAAAUGCAAAUAUGGUUUUGUUUGUAAAGAAGUCAAUGUAAGUAUGGUUUUACUAUACUGUAAGUAGUCAAAUAGGUGAAUUACCCAUAUACAGAGAAACCACACUUCAUUGAACCCUGCAUAAGGUAAAAAUUUAUCUUAAUCAGACCCUGCAUAACUGAACCAUUACAUACACAAGUACAGUGAUUUUACACUUUUACAUAUAACACCUGUCUUAUCAGGAUAAUAUAUUCAGUCUCAAUUUUCUACAGUUAAGACGAUCUUUUAAAGAUUUCACUGUAUAUUUGAAACGCCUAAUACAUUAGAAAGUUUAUCAAAUCAUUCCAAAAAGAUUCACUCACGUUAGAAUAAAAAUAAUCUUUGUUCCUGCUAAGCCACUUUUAUUUCACAAAAAAAUAAUCUUUAGAAAGUUGGCUGUCAAUUGACUCAUUUAUAAAGGUUUGAUAAAUUUAUGUCAUGGGUGUAUUUUGGGGGGCAAAAAAAAAGUGCAAUUAGACUCCUACACCUAUUUCUCGUUAUUGAGUAGUUCAUUGAAUGAAUUGUUUUCAUCCAGUUAAACAAAUGCAGUGUUUUGUUCUUAUAGAAAUCAAGCAAUUUCUAAUGUGAAACUGUAAAAUUUCAAUUGACAACCUUGAAACCUCAGGCAUCUGCACAUUUUGGACUUACUUGCUAAAAAGAAUAUACAACAACAAAACUUAAAUUAAAUUAUAUGGUCAUAAAAAACAAAAGAUAAGCACCAUGCACCAACAUGUAUUAAAAAAAUCAAAUUCUGAUUACAAUUAUUGUACCGUAUUUACAAAUCAUUGAAAAUAUCUUGUAAAACAAUCUAAUGCUUAGACUUUUUUCAUAUGAAUGAAUUUGGCAGCAUAGUAAUAAAGCUUUAAAUAUAGAUGGCGACACUAAAAAGUAAGAGUUAAUUUUUUCUUUGUUUGUCAU
RNAcentral lists this long non-coding RNA (1180 nucleotides) under Mytilus galloprovincialis (Mediterranean mussel). Lineage: Eukaryota; Metazoa; Mollusca; Bivalvia; Mytilida; Mytilidae. The record is from RNAcentral.